RNAcentral lists this ribosomal RNA (245 nucleotides) under uncultured bacterium. Its description in RNAcentral is "partial 16S ribosomal RNA". It matches the Rfam family "Bacterial small subunit ribosomal RNA", at positions 524 to 768 of the family's 1533-position model. The record is from RNAcentral.
UACAGAGGUCCCAAGCGUUGUUCGGAUUCACUGGGCGUAAAGGGUGCGUAGGUGGUGGGAUAAGUUUGGUGUGAAAUCUUCGAGCUCAACUCGGAAACGGCAUCAAAUACUAUCCGGCUUGAGGGUUGGAUGGGAGACUGGAAUUCUUGGUGUAGCAGUGAAAUGCGUAGAUAUCAAGAGGAACACCAGUGGCGAAGGCGAGUCUCUGGACAACUCCUGACACUGAGGCACGAAAGCUAGGGGAG